CUAAUCUCAUAUAUGUCACAUUUCUCAUGAACAAAAACGAGGCAUUGGCAUUAACAGGACUAAUAAUACAAUGAUUCAAAAUACAGCUAGACAGUGCAUCAAUCUUUACAUAGUCAGGUGAAUCAAAUCAGUCAGUUCUUCCAGGGAAACAAUCAUAUUCAGGUUUCAGAACUCUCAAACUGGCACCGAUCCAAAACAUAGAAAGCAUCAUGCAGCAUGAAAGCCAAUCAUCACCUCCCACGCACAAUGGCAGGUGAUCGAGCACCUUUAUCACUGCUAAUGUCUUCAUCAAUUUCACUUCCAUCAACCCACACAACGUUGCUGCUUACACUCACCUCAGAACUAGUAUUACUGCUCGUGGCAAGUGGGGAGUCAGGCACGCUAAUUGACCUGCUUGUCCUGCCUCUAGUAGGCGGCCCUGAUCUCACACUGUACAUAGAGGAUGCUGGAAUAUUAGUCAUCAAGGGACGCAAAUUAACCGAGACUCUCUGCCUUAUAUCCUGUCCAAGAACAAUGUCUCAAAGUUAAGCAAAUCCAAAAAGGAUAAGAGAACAAGAAGGCCAACAAGACAGAUCAUCUAAGACUUAGAGCUAUAAAAAAAACAACACAAAUAUUGCUACUCUAAUCAGUUUUUGAAAAUAUACUUAUGUCUUCAGUCUAUGGUAGAGCACAAUAUUCUAUUAGCAUAGGAAUGUGAAAAGAAUGUAUAUACCAUAUGUCUAAUAGCCAUAUCCAAGGAUUUCUUUGAUAAUGAUCUUCCAAAACCUGAGCUAUCAGGUGACGAAGACUUUGCAGAUCAAGUUACUGCGUGGAGAAUGUUUGUCAUCUUGUUUUUGGAGGAAUCAGCUUCUGCAUAUUUAUUACCCUUUCAACCAUUUUGGUCCCAACCAUGCCAGGGCUUACAUUGUCCUUGGCUUUAGCAUGAAGUCGGCUCAUGGAUGGUACAGGAACAGAGCUUCCACUGCUAUGCAUAACACCAUUAGGAGGAUGUCCUCUUGCUGGAGAGCAUGACUGUCGUCUAACCCUUCCAUUUGAAGCUGGCUCAACAGAUGAAGACCUGACACUAGCUGCUCCAGGUCUGCCCCUUGUAGCUGAAAUUGGCCUGUCAGGUAGUGAUGUCCUUAAAUUGGGUGGAGCAUCAAGGGAGAACCCUGGUAUAUCUGAAGGCUUCCAUGGUCUGGGUUUUACAGUUGGAGAACUAGCACGUGAGGCUGCAGGGUUUCGUGAUGCCAUUGUAGCUGACCUGGUACCCAAAGGGGAAUACACAGAUUUAACUGGAGGAACAGUUGUAUUUGUUGUACUUGACACUGAAGUUGCUCGACGAGUUGGAGUUGCUGCCCUUGAUGUGGACUUUGAUCCAGUAACUGAGGCCCUGCUUGUUGGUGUUGAGGACCGUGCACUGGAUCUUGCAGUAGGUGUUGAAGAUCUUGGAGGAACAGUGGGUUUUGCAGAAGGCAUGGUGGCCCGAGAAGUAGGUGUUGCAGACCUUGAUGAUCUAGAUGCUGUCGUGGUUGACAUUAAUCUAGAGGUUGCAGAGGAUGCCAUUGCUUUGGUUGCUGCAGCAGAUGUGGAUCUAGAUGCUGAGGUCGAGGUGGAUCUAGAUGAGCUCAAUGUCGGUCUACCAGUAGGAGUUGAAGGUCUUGAUCCACCUGAAGAAGAUGGUCUUCGAAGACUAGAACUUGAAGUGUUUUAAUCCAGGAGAGGAAGCUAGCUGUCUAGAUGCUAAGUUGCUUCUUGAGGUGGCCUCUGGGAGAGAAUUUGUUAACUGCAUCAAAGUUAGCAAAUUACAGAUAAAAAUAUAUCAAAACUGUGAUACACACUUCAGGUUAAGAUUGCCAGGCAGAAAGCUUCACUAUUUGCACUUCACAUAUUUAUCUACUCACAGUAAUAGGCAAAGUUCUGCAUUGUCUUCAAGUAAAUUGGUGUCUAGACAUAUUUAACUAUGCUUUCUCUAAUCUUUCUUUAGUGUACUUGCAAACAACAACAUACCCAAUAUAGUCCCACGAGUGGGGUUUGGGAAGGGUGGGGUGUACGCAGACCUUACCCUUAAUUCUGACGGGUAGAGAGGUUCAAAAGACCCUCUGAUCAAGAAAAUCGAUUUUCAGAACAUGGUUUGAAAGAAAUGCAUGAGUAAAAAGCUAUUAUGAGAAUAUUGAAAAAAAGAAAAAUAUUUGACAAUAAAAAUAUUAGAGAUAACCAAAGUAAAAGAAACAACAAUAGAAAUAAAAUAGAAGAACAAGGUAAUGCUAGCAAAAUAAUACUCCCUUUGUCCCAAUUUAUGUGACAUACUUUACUUUUUAAUGUGUCCUCAAAAGAAUAUCACUUUUCUAUAAUUAGAAAUAACUUUAAAAUUUCCCUUUUACCCCUAACGAAUUGAUUUACCGUCACACAAAUAUCUAAGGUUUGUUUUAAACCACAAGUUUCAAAAGUCUUCCUGAUUUUCUUAAACUGUGUCAAAUUGGGACGGUGGGAUAAUACUGCCAGACUAGAACCCUGAUCUACCACGAGAAAGAGAGAAAAUGCUCAACUACCUACUAACCGUCUACCCUGAUCCUCGACCUCCAUGAUCUCCUGUUUAAAUUCAUGUCCUUAUUUAGUUGAAGAUGUUUCAUCUAUUGUAAUCACAUCUCCCCAAUUCUUCCUCGAUCUACCUCUACCUUCCUCAAACCUAUCAUUGUCAACCUCUCGCACCUCGUCACUAGGGCAUUUGUGUUCCUCCUCUUCGAAUGCUCGAACAAUCUUGGCCUUGUUUCCCGCAUCUUGUCCACCAUUGAAGCUACUCCCACCAGGCCUCAUAUAUCUUCGUUUCUAAUCUUGCCUCUUCUAAUGUGCCCACACAUCCAUUUAAGCAUCCUCAUUUAUGUUACCUUCAACUUCUGAGGAUGCGAGUUCUUGACUGACCAACACUCCGACCAAUACAACAUAGUUGGUUUAACAACCGCUCCAUGGGACUUACCUUUCUUAAUCUUUCUUUUACUUAGUUCAAUGUAAAUUAUGGGUUUCAAAUAAAAGCAAGCUACAAGUUGGUGUUUUUCGUCGUAUGAACUUUUAAAUUGUGAACUUUGUCUAUUAAUGUUUUUCCUCAUUGUUUCCUUCUAUUAUUGUCCAAGAACAAUCAAGUUAUAAAUGACUGCAUAAAACCAAAAAAGACGCCUAAUAUGCAUAAUUAUAGAAGAUUCUCUUCAAGAUUAAACAAUUCCAUCAAAUUGGAUAAUGAUUAAAUGUGUUAUAACAUUUAGUAAUACUAGGAACAUCAAUAAAUCUGAUUAUUAUAAUUACUCGGGAGAAUCUUUAAGAAAAAACCAACUCAAACUGAUCACAGACACCCCAUCAUAAGAGCAUGUGCUAGCUAAUGCAUCCUUACUAGGAUAAAGAAAUCAUAGCCCAAAAAUAUUCGUAGGAGUUUCAGUUUUCCAAAUGGUUGAUAUCUAGGAGAUUGGGUACUCAUAAUAUCCCACAAGAAGCAUCACAAAAGAAAUGUAUGGCACACUUUUUCUUUCUGAUAACUGUAUGCAUCUACAGUCAACCAUUAGGACCAACUGCAGCAUUCGAAGUUCGGGAAUAAUGGGCUCAGCCCUCUACUACUCUCCAAUUAAAUGUUAGGCUUAGUUCACAUGGUAUAGAGGUCGAACCUAGACCUAGGUCACAAGUUCCUCGGCCUUUGUCACCUGAACUAAGCAUGGGAGCAGUUGUACAUCAUACCUCUACAUUCAAAAACUAAAAUAACCCUCAAAUUCAGUAGAGGGCUUCUGCGAAUAGCAUUUGACUAAACAAUGGAGCCACCAUUGUGCACGCAGUCUGAACUAAAGAACCUGUCAGGGUCUUCCUGUUUAAUUAAAGAAAUAUUCUUUUAGGUUUCCUUGAAAUCUCCACAUCCCUCUGGUGGCUGGAUAUGGGAUGAAAUACUCUCAGAUUAUACAGAUGGUCAACAUUUCCCGUGUUAAACAUUACAAAAGUGAAAAUAUACUAAUUUCCAAUUACACAUAAUGCAUUUCAGCAAAGAAAGAAUGUAACAGUAGAAUAUACAUAUUCUUACUCUAGAUGUCAAUGCAGUGGGGUGAGCUCUAGAAGUUCCCAGCUGACUCAUCAUAGUUUUGCGUGAUUCCAUCUCUAGAGAAGGAAAAAGAGGAGUGCCUGGAGGUGUUAGAAGCUUGAAACAGGAAAAUAACAUCUCAUAAUAACGCAUACAGAACUGCAGAUAGGAUUUUAAAAGAAUAUCUGGGAAAUCUGAUUCAUGAAUCAACAAAAUAAUUCAACAUCAGAGGUGCAAAGAAGCCCUUUUUGUUCUGCUUUUCAAAUUUACAGAAAGGGGGUGCACCACCCUACUCCCUUUAUUUAUUUGAGUGCUAGAUUUUGAUAUAUGGCAGCCAUUAAUAUUUGUACUUAAAUUGCGCAGAAAACAAAUACAUCUACAAACUAUACGUGUUUUUCUCACUGUUCAUGAUGUUUGAAUAAAAACUUGCUUUUGACAUCCUUUUUUUUUUUGGUAAAGUAAUUAAAUGAUAUUAGAAAGCAUCAAGAAGAUGCAAAGUCACAAAGCACAAUGUGCAAGAAAGCUGCUCCAAACAGAAUUAUAGAGUUAAUAAUUUUGAUGGUCACUCAACUAUCAACUUUUUUCACAGAAAGUCACUCAACUUUCAUUUUUAACUCAAAAGUCACUCAACUAUGACUUCUUUGCAUAGAAAGUCACUCAGCCUAUUUUAUUAUUUUUUUUCACUAAAAUUUGCUGAUAUGGAAUUUUUAUUUUUAACCAAAAUUUUAAAAAUCAAAUACAUAACCAUUUAAUGACUCGCCCCAUUUAAUCCGACCCGCUAAAAAUAUAAUAUUGAACUUUUUAUUUUAUCAUUAAUUCCCCAAAUCAUUCUCUCUUGUCUCAUUUUUCUUUUCUUUUUUUUUACUUUUAAAAACUUUUUUAAACUCUAAAAACAAAUACAAGCCCUCAAAGUGGCCUGUUAAAUAUACAGACAGCUAAAGUUUUUAAAAAGUUAAAAAAAAAAAAAGAAAAAAAAAAAAAGAGAAGAAGAACGCUAGGAGAUAAAAGAGACAAUAGAAUGAUUUGGGGAACUAAUGAUAAAAUAAAAAGUUUAAUAUCAUAUUUUUAGCGGAUCGGGUUAAAUGAGGCAGGUCAUUAAAUGGAUAUGUAUUUGAUUUUUAAAAUUUUGGUUAAAAAUAAAAAUUCCAUAUCAGCAAAUUUUAGUGAAAAAAAAUAAUAAAAUAGGCUGAGUGACUUUCUAUGCAAAGAAGUCAUAGUUGAGUGACUUUUGAGUUAAAAAUGAAAGUUGAGUGACUUUCUGUGAAAAAAGUUGAUAGUUGAGUGACCAUCAAAGUUAUUAACUCUUACAUUUUAGUCCCUAGGAGGUAGUAUAAAUAGAGGUGCCCCUCAUUUGCAAAGCACCAUCCAAGCAAGCAAGUUGUAAAGCAUUCUUCCAAGCAAUACAAAGCCUUCUUCCAAAAUUCUCUAAGUCUUUCCUUUCAUUCUCUUAGCAAUCUUAGCAUAAAAGGCUUACUUGAGCUUACUAGAUCUUGAAAGACUAGUGAGUAAGUUGUCAAGUGCCGCACGGAGCUUUAGCAAGACUCUAAGUCCGUGACAAAGUGGUAUCAAAGCGAAGGUUUGAUACUAAGGGAAUGGCAACCGAAGGAGACGUGAAUGCCGCUAGUACCACCAACGUCCGUCCGGAUGGUGGAAAGAAGAACCGCAAGGGAAAGAAGCACCAAAAGAGUCAUGAAGAAAUGCUGUUGGAUCCCGCACCAAGCGAGGCGCUAACAUCUCAUCCACCCUCAACCACCGAAGCAAGUGACGAGGAAUGUGGCGAGGAGGCCAUUGACGUCACCACAGGAGAAGAGUGGGUCACAAGGGUUGAAGUGGCAAGGCAGGCCGUGGAGAUAUUAGGCCGGCGCAUGAACGUGGCCGAUGGCAAAUUCAAGAUUCUCAAAGACUUCACCCUUGAGGAGACCGAAAACAUCCGUAAGGAGUUGGAGGGACGUCAGCGAGCCGAGUUUGAGAUGAAGGAGGCUAUCACUUCCUUGGAGUGUCGGCUCAUGGAGGCGUUGAGCACGAUUGAGACCAUGAAGGCCGAGAUGAAAGCACUCAAGGAAGGUGUGGCAGCUGGAGGAUCAUCGUCGCUUGAUCGAGAUAGGGAGGCCAGGGUCGAGGCUCCCAAGCCACCUAUGUUCAAAGGCGUCCGUGACGCGCAAGAGGUGGAGAAUUUUCUCUGGCAUUUGGAGAAUUACUUCAAGUGCAACGGGCUGAAGAGCAAUGAGAGUAAGAUCAACACUGCUAUGUUGUAUCUUUCGGAGAUGGCCAUGCUAUGGUAGAGGCACAAAGAGGCCGAGAUAGGGAAGGGGACGUGCACCAUCAACACCUGGGAGCAUUCCGGGAGGAGUUCAAGAAAGCCUUCUUCCCUAACAACGUCAUCUAUGAGACGAAGCGCAAGUUUAGGGAGCUGAAGCAAACGGGCAGCAUCCGUGCAUAUGUGCAGGAGUUCACUACCCUCACGCUUCAAAUUCCUAACCUCACGGAUGAUGAUAUGUUGUUCCACUUCAUGGAUGGGAUGCAAAAUUGGGCCAGGACGGAGUUGGAACGUCGGCAAGUCAGGACCAUAGACGAAGCCAUCACGCAGACCGAAGCUUUGACAGACUUCAGGCAUGAGAAACCCGACAGAGCCAGAGGAGAAGAGAUGAGAGGUAGUCAUGACCAUGGUGGGGGAGAUCGUGGCGAAGCGAGGAGCAGCGGCCACAUCCCAAGAAGCAUGACACUUAUAAGUCCGAUGGCAAGAAGUCCGGACGUCAUGGCAACACGGAGAGGAAGAUAGAGGUUGCCAACAAAGGUGGUUGCUACAUAUGCGGCGAGCUGCAUGGUUAUGCAAGGUGCCCUGAACUGAAGAGCCUUGGUGCCAUCCUGCGAGAGCGGAAGGAGAAAGACGCCCAGGAGCAAGGACAAGGCGAAGGGACGACGCAGUUGGGCUUGAUAGGACUAUGCGGAGCCAUCACGAAGCAGCCAGAGAAGCCAAGAGGAUAUGGCGCGCAGUAUGUCGACGUUACGAUAAAUGGAAGACCCACGCGUGCUAUGGUCGACACGGGUGCAGAGGUCAAUAUAAUGACCAAGACGGCAGCGACAAGGUUGGGACUGAGUUACAAUCCAAGUAACGCCCAACUCAGGACGGUCAAUGCACCCCCGACUCCUGUGAGCGGAGUCGCACAUGGAGUGAGCAUCACGCUAGGCGAGUGGCAAGGUAAGACCAAUUUCACUGUCGCUCCUGUAGAUCUCUUCGAUGUAAUUCUUGGGCAGGAAUUCUUCCAGCAGUGCCACGCGGUGAUCGACCCUUACCUCCAACGACUUCUAGUCAUGGAGCAAGGAAGAUCAUGUAUGGUGCCCCUGGUUAAGGUACCGAAGACGGAAGGACAAGUACGUCUAACAGCCCUACAACUCAUAAGAGGCCCUAAGAAGAAGGAGUCGACGCAUAGAGCCACCAUUGCAAGUUCGAAAGAAGACAAUGGUGCAAAAGGGUCCCUGCCACCACGCACGAAGAAGGUUCCAGAAAGGAACAAUGCCGUGAUGCCAAAGAAGCCGCCGAGGCGCUUGCUUCCUAGGAAGGAGGAAGAUCAUAAGACCAGGCUGAAAGAGAUUAGGAAACAACUGAAGACGUUGCGCGAGGGCGUGGAUCGAGUGAGUAGACUAUUGGCCAUGCGUACAAGAAGACAAGACCCGGUUGGCGAUGGAAUAACUUAGAAGGCAAUGGAAGGUCUAGAUAUUUUCUUGGAAAGCUUUAGAAUUUCCUAUAAUUAGUAGAAGAUUCUAGGGAGGGACCAAAGUGUAAAUAGUUUAGGGACUUGUAAAGUAAAUAUUAAUUACAUUUUAGUCCCUAGGAGGUAGUAUAAAUAGAGGUGCCCCUCAUUUGCAAAGCACCAUCCAAGCAAGCAAGUUGUAAAGCAUUCUUCCAAGCAAUACAAAGCCUUCUUCCAAAAUUCUCUAAGUCUUUCCUUUCAUUCUCUUAGCGAUCUUUAGCAUAAAAGGCUUACUUGAGCUUACAAGAUCUUGAAAGACUAGUGAGUAAGUUGUCAAGUGCCGCACGGAGCUUUAGUAAGACUCUAAGUCCGUGACACUAGCUUAGCAAAAACUUGAGAAACAGUCAAUAGGGGGCCCUACUACUCUACUGUACUAGAGAUAGAGAACUAACAAAAUCCAAAAAGUUAUCCACUUUCAUUGGUCUGCUUGCACAUGACACAUCUGUUGAUGAGGAUUACACCUUUUUUCCGGAGAUUGUCUUGUGUUAGGCAUGCUUCUUUCAGGGCAGUCCAGGUGAAACAAGAUACUCUGAGAGGCUGCCUAGUUUUCCAUACAUGUUUCCAAGGACAUCCUUAUAUUUUAUCACUUAAAAUUUGCAUCCUUAACCCUCUUAGCUAUCCUCCCUUGUAACAUCAAGAAAUUGAAUUCAGCUAGCAUGUAUUAAGAACAGUGUUAUCAAAGGCGAAAAGCGCAAAAAAGCUCUAGGGUCUGUGGGGGCUUUAAGCGCAACGCGCAAAUAAAGCGUGGACUUUAAUUAAAAAAGGCGCAAAGGGAGAAAAGAAUAUAAACAUAUAUGUUUAGUCCAAGACUAAUAAUUAUUAACAUGAAUGACAAAUAUAUAUCCAAAGAAAUUGAAAAAAAAUUAUGAUAAAGUGAAAUAUCAAUUAUUUAGUAUCACUUCUUCAUGAGAGGCUCAUUGGCAAGGAAACGUUUGCCUUAGAACCUUGAUGACGACAAUGAAGCGCACAUAAAGCGAGGCGAAACGCUCAACAUGUUUUGAGCCUCGCUUCAGGGGUUAAGCACGCCUUUGAUAACACUAAUUAAGAAUACUACCUGGAGAAGUAUGACAUCAAAGUUUAAGAUGCACAUAUAAAUUGUAUUUGGAGUCUUGAGUGUCAUAUGUCAAACACCUAGCCUUUAACAUUUAAAGAGUUCAGUAGACUUGGAGACCUGUAUCGGUCUACUAGACACAAGUAGGGCACUAUCUCAUAAUUUUCUGCCGAUCCUCAUGGUGCAUAACAAGAAUUUUAAAAGGAUUUUAUUAAGUCUCUUAUGAUAAAUGAAACGUAUGACCUACCAAAUCUUCAAGUGCCUAUUAUUCGACAAAGUCCUCAAUUGAGAGGAGGAGGAACUUCCAGCUAGAUUUUUAGCAUGGUGUUUUAAGUUUCUUGGCACUAUGAAUUAAGUUAGAUGUUCAACGCUUAUAAUCUUUAACAAAGUUGAAUGACUUGAAUCUAUCGUUUGUUACAUUGGAACCAACAUAAUCAAUGAAAUGUCAUAUAUGAUGAGUAGUUCUAAAUGUUUAAUUAGUUAGUAUAUAAAUCCUAUAUAACAAAAUUAGAUUACAUAUUUCUUAUCAUGCUUGUUUGUGUCCUGUAGCUUUCAAACUUCUGUUUUCUGUCACUGGGAUGCCCAAAAGUCUGCUUAUCUCAGUAAACUUGUGUAGGUAAGAUAAUUCAAGCAAACUUGUGCAUCAAUAUUUGAGUUGAUUUCCCAGAUGGUCACUCAACUAAUAGUUAUUAUCUCCACCUUCUUGUGUGAAAACACAGAGAAAAAUGACAUUGCCAAAAAAUUAACAUGGUAAAUUUUCCAUUUAUUAUCAAAAGAAACAUCCCUCCAUGUCAAACACCUAGUCUUUAACAUUUAAAGAGUUCAGUAGACUAGGAGACCUGUAUCGGUCUACUAGACACAAGUAGGGCACUAUCUCAUAAUUUUCUGCCGAUCCUCAUGGUGCAUAACAAGAAUUUUAAAAGGAUUUUAUUAAGUCUCUUAUGAUAAAUGAAACGUAUGAUCUACCAAAUCUUCAAGCGCCUAUUAUUUGACCAAGUCCUCAAUUGAGAGGAGGAGGAACUUCCAGCUAAAUUUUUAGCAUGGUGUUUUAAGUUUCUUGGCACUAUGAAUUAAGUUAGAUGUUCAACGCUUAUAAUCUUUAACAAAGUUGAAUGACUUGAAUCUAUCGUUUGUUACAUUGGAACCAACAUAAUCAAUGAAAUGUCAUAUAUGAUGAGUAGUUCUAAAUGUUUAAUUAGUUAGUAUAUAAAUCCUAUAUAACAAAAUUAGAUUACAUAUUUCUUAUCAUGCUUGUUUGUGUCCUGUAGCUUUCAAAUUCUGUUUUCUGUCACUGGGAUGCCCAAAAGUCUGCUUAUCUCAGUAAACUUGUGUAGGUAAGAUAAUUCAAGCAAACUUGUGCAUCAAUAUUUGAGUUGAUUUCCCAGAUGGUCACUCAACUAAUAGUUAUUAUCUCCACCUUCUUGUGUGAAAACACAGAGAAAAAUGACAUUGCCAAAAAAUUAACAUGGUAAAUUUUCCAUUUAUUAUCAAAAGAAACAUCCCUUUUGAAGCCACGUCCAUGUAAAAUAAACCCUGGACUCCCCUUCCACCCAAGUGGUGUAUUCUCUCCUUAUGGAGUCUAAGAAAAGAGAUAUAUCCUUAAGCAGACGGAAUAUCAAUGUCCUUAAGAAUUCUAAAAAGAUCAAUACUCACUUUCUUGUUGGAGAAAAUUGGAAUAAAGAAGAAAGGGUUACCAUCUGAGAAUUCAACUCAUCAAUACUUCCCUAAAGAAUUUAUAAACUACAUGGUGAAAAAGAUUAAAUUGGAUAAAGAAACUUAUAAUGUCCAAAAUCAACAUAAGCAGCUAAAAGAAACAAUUAAACAACUCAGAAAAUCACAUACUUGGAAAGGAGAAGAAGAAACAAAUUACCAGUCGUAAUCAGUUUUAUCAUUGUCAGCACUAAGGAACUCAUCAGUACGAGUCUUCCGCAGGGGUGCAGCUGAUGCAAUAAUAAAUGCAGGUGAACUACCACUUUUUGAUCUUGCAAUAAGAUAUAUUGAAAUAAAAAAUACAUAUAUGAACUUUAGGUUAUGAAGCAGAAAUCACAAAUUCCUCACUAGUUGGACACAUUUAUAUGAUGUCCAUAAAGACUAAAAAUAUUUUUGGAACUUGAAGUGGAAAUGCACCUUCAAAAAACCAACUUCAACUUGAAAUUUAUUCUUUAUGCUGUCAAUUUGAACAAAGAAAGGUCAAUAAAUGGAAGGAAGACAAAAAAAAAACUUACCAAGGGGAUCAAAUUCGUUGGAUUUUUGAAGAAAUCGAUUAUUAUUUCUGUCAUUUUCCCUUCUUCGCAUUUCUAGAAACAAUGAUAGUUCCUCAUCUGAACUCCUAAUACUCCCCAUUAGAGGCUGUCUCUGCCUCUGCCCCGGGCCCAAUAAGAUGUUACUCCCUUUGUUUCAUUUUUUAUGAUCAACUCUUUUAAACACCUUAAAACAAGAAGAAAAGAAUUCUUAAAGAAAUCUAUAUAUAUAAAAAUAAAUUGGUAUUAAGAUUAUAUGAGAGUAUAUGGAUAUUUUAGCAUAAUAAUGAAAGUUGUCAAGUUUUUGAAACUUUUAAAAUGGUAACAUAUAAAAUUGAAAAAGAAGGGAGUAGCAAGUGCUUUAUUUUUAUAAAGUUAUAUAUGUGCUUACAAGAAGUCGACUAUAGCCUGUCUUUUUUCAUCAUUUCCUAAAAGGCCAACACGUACCUAGCCCUGCUUGGAGAGACGAUUCCUUUUAAGCUAUGCUUCACACAUUGACUCCUCCACUUGUCAUGGUUGAAAUCAAAGUGAUGUACAUAUAAAAAGUAUUUAAAGAAGUGAGAAUAUGUAUGUCCUAAAAGUUAAAUUAAUUAAAAGAAAAAAAUAAAACAAUAAAGUAAGAAAGGUUUUCAUAUAAAUAGACUAACGAGACAAGAUGGUAAAAUAGAUUAUGACAUAGUUAACAAAAACAUACAUUGGGUGAUUAUUCUAUCAAAGUUCAUUAAUUAUCUUAGGACUAUUUUUUGACACGACUUGAACGUGCUUUGUGAAAUGUGAAUCUUAUUUAAAGAUAGUGUAACUUUAGACUAAUCAAUUUCCCAUAUAUAAAAGUUAGUGAAUCAUUGUAAUUUGAAAUUGAUAUUCAUGCCUAAUACAAAAGAUUUUUACUUUAAACAGUUGGUCAGUUUUGAUAACAUUCAAAAAUAUAAAAGGCUUCAUCGAAAGUACUUAGCAUAAACACAUAAUUACAAAAACAAUAAUAUCAUCAAACAAAAAUAAAUGUAAUUUUCAAAAGUGAAAUUUGAAGAGGGAUAGAGAUAGAGUGUACACAUAUCAUAUCCGUAUUUCUUAGACAUAAAGAAAUUAUUUCCAAUAAACACCAAACUUAUAAUAAAGCAUAUUCCAACAAAUAGGAAAAAGAAAAUUUGGGUAAAUGAGAAUUGUAGCAACAACAAGAUAAGUUUCACACAUGAUUAAGAAUUAAAAUCAAUCUAGUAGUUUUGCUAGGACGCAAAAACCCCAAAUAAAAAGGCAUGUAUGAAUAAUUGAAUAGAGAGUUACACAUCAUUUAGAUAAUCCAAUAAGUUGCUAGAAAAAUUUAUAUGAUGACAGAAAAUAUACUCUGCUUACAAUAAGUUCUUUGCUACCAAAACUAACUAAACUAAGAUAGUAUAAAAGAAUAAUAAAAUAUGUAAAUACAAGUGAAACCAAAUUAAAAAUAUGAUUAUAACUAGAUUUUGUUAAAUACAAGUGAAACCUAAUUAAAAAUAUGAUUAUAACUAGAUUUUGUAAAAAUGCUUGAGCAUGAUAGUAAUUGAACUUUGAAAAUGAUUAUUUAUAAGUACUUAAUAAAGGUGAAUAAAUACAAAGACAGUAAUAAAAAACCUAUCAUUAACUACUUUAUUUAUGAAUUUCAUACUAAUAGAAAUAUCUAAGAUAGAACUUGGAACUUACUAUCCUCUUGCCUAGCAGACAAAGAUUUACUUCCAUGGAAAGGCUGAUUUAUGCGGAUCGACAUGAGAGUCCAACUAUAUUGCCAUAAUCCAUGUUGUAUAUUUGAAAGAGGUUGACCUCCUUACUUAUUUCAUGUUAUACUCCUCUUCCCGCCAAACCCCUUUUCUCCUCAGUACACUAAGACAAAAUGUAGGACUGGUGUCAAUAAUUCAUCACGGUCCGCAUGUAACAAAUGAUACAAUGAUAAUUACGCAAUAUAAUAACAACAAAAUAAAGCAUAGAACACAUAUUUUUAGCACAAAAGUAGACAAAGAUAGCUUAAAAAAUAUUUUGGCCUCACAAAUUAAAAGACGCUCGUAAAAAAAUGAAAAUGAAGGAUAAAAUUGGGUGUCAACAAUUAUUUUUUUAUUGAGAUAAAACUUCACAUAUUUUUGCCUGAAUUGUUGUUUUAUGAAAGCCAAAUAUAAAGUAAUUUUGCCCGUAAUUUUGGUAUGGCUUACUAAGGUCAACUAUAACACUUAACAAAUUUGAAUUAGAUUUGAGUCAUUAAAUUUCAUUGCUUUGACUGAGCUAUGCUAAAGCAAAUGUAAAUAUAUGUAAAAGCUAAUAUCUUAUCAUGCACAUGGUGUACAAAAAGGUUGAAAUCAAAGAGAAUUUAAAAUACGGAAAAGGGUCAAAAUUGCCCCUGAACUAUGCGAAAUAGACCACUUAUACCCUCCAUUACAUUUUGGGAUCAAAAUACCCCCGCCGUUAUCCUAGGAGACCACAAAUACCCUUAAGAGUUAACACCCCAAAUUUUUAGUGAUGUGGCAAGCCACAUGGGACUAAUCCCUCCACCUAAGCAUUGCCAACUAAGAUUCACUACAAAAGAACUUGACCUUUUGUCACGACCCAAUUUCUCAAGUAAUGAUGGCACCUACUAUAACCCACCNNNNNNNNNNNNNNNNNNNNNNNNNNNNNNNNNNNNNNNNNNNNNNNNNNNNNNNNNNNNNNNNNNNNNNNNNNNNNNNNNNNNNNNNNNNNNNNNNNNNUCUAAAUGUUUAAUUAGUUAGUAUAUAAAUCCUAUAUUACAAAAUCUUAUCAUGCUUGUUUGUGUCCUGUAGCUUUCAAAUUCUGUUUUCUGUCACUGGGAUGCCCAAAAGUCUGCUUAUCUCAGUAAACUUGUGUAGGUAAGAUAAUUCAAGCAAACUUGUGCAUCAAUAUUUGAGUUGAUUUCCCAGGUCACUCAACUAAUAGUUAUUAUUCCCACCUUCUUGUGUAAAAGCACAGAGAAAAAUGACAUUGCCAAAAAAUUAACAAGGUAAAUUUUCCAUUUAUUAUCAAAACAAACAUCCCCUUUGAAGCCGCGUCCAUGUAAAAUAAACCCUGGACUCCCCUUCCACCCAAGUGGUGUAUUCUCUCCUUAUGGAGUCUAAGAAAAGAGAUAUAUCCUUAAGCAAGACGGAAGAUCAAUGUCCUUAAGAAUUCUAAAAAGAUCAAUACUCACUUUCUUGUUAGAAGAAAAUUGGAAUAAAGAAGAAAUGGUUACCAUCUGAGAAAUCAACUCAUCAAUACUUCCCUAAGCAGCUAAAAGAAACAAUUAAACAACUCAGAGAAUCACAUACUUGGAAAGGAGAAGAAGAAACAAAUUACCAGUCGUAAUCCGUUUUAUCAUUGUCAGCAUUAAGGAACUCAUCAGUACGAGUCCUCCGCAUGGGUGCAGCUAAUGCAAUAUCAAAUACAGGUGAACUACCACUUUUUGAUCUUGCAAUAAGAUAUAAUUGAAAAAAAAAAUACAUAUAUAAACUUUAGGUUAUGAAGCAGAAAUCACAAAUUCCUCACUAGUUGGACACAUUUAUAUGAUGUCCAUAAAGACUCAAAAUAUUUUUGGAACUUGAAGUUGAAAUGCACGUUCAAAAAACCAACUUCAACUUGCAAUUUAUUCUUUAUGCUGUCGAUAUGGACAAAGAAAGGUCAAUAAAUGGAAGGAAAACAAAAAAAAAACUUACCAAGGGGAUCAAAUUCGUUGGAUUUUUGAAGAAAUCGAUUAUUAUUUCUGUCAUUUUCCCUUCUUCGCAUUUCUAGAAACAAUGAUAGUUCCUCAUCUGAACUCCUAAUACUCCCCAUUAGAGGCUGUCUCUGCCUCUGCCCCGGGCCCAAUAAGAUGUUACUCCCUUUGUUUCAUUUUUUAUGAUCAACUCUUUUAAACACCUUAAAACAAGAAGAAAAGAAUUCUUAAAGAAAUCUAUAUAUAUAAAUAAAUUGGUAUUAAGAUUAUAUGUGAGUAUAUGGAUAUUUUAGCAUAAUAAUGAAAGUUAUCAAGUUUUUGAAACUUUUAAAAUGAUAACAUAUAAAAUUGAGAAUAUGUAUGUCCUAAAAGUUUAAUUAAUUAAAAGAAAAAAUAAAAUAAUAAAGUAAGAAAGGUUUUCAUAUAAAUAGACUAACGAGACAAGAUGGUAAAAUAGAUUAUGACAUAGUUAACAAAAACAUACAUUGGGUGAUUAUUCUAUCAAAGUUCAUUAAUUAUCUUAGUACUAUUUUUUUGACACGACUUGAACGUGCUUUGUGAAAGGUGACUCUUAUUUAAAGAUAGUGUAACUUGAGACUAAUCAAUUUUCUCUACAUAAAAGUGAAUCAUUGUAAUUUGAAAUUGAUAUUCAUGUCUAAUACAAAAGUUUUUUACUUUAAACAGUUGGUCAGUUUUGAUAACAUUCAAAAAUAUAAAAGGCUUCAUCGAAAGUACUUAGCAUAAACACAUAAUUACAAAAACAAUAAUAUCAUCAAACAAAAAUAAAUGUAAUUUUCAAAAGUGAAAUUUGAUGAGGGAUAUAGAUAGAGUGUACACAUAUCAAUAUCAUAUCCGUAUUUCUUAAAGAUAAAGAAAUUAUUUCCAAUAAACACCAAACUAUAAUAAAGCAUAUUCCAACAAAUAGGAAAAAGAAAAUUUGGGUAAAUGAGAAUUGUAGCAACAACAAGAUAAAUGAGAACACAUGAUUAAGAAUUAAAAUCAAUCUAGUAGUCUUGAGCAUGAUAGAUUAUUUAUAAGUGCUUAAUAAAGGUGAAUAAAUACAAAGACAGAAAUAAAAAACCUAUCAUUAACUACUUUAUUUAUGAAUUUCAUACUAAUAGAAAUAUCUAAGAUAGAACUUGGAACUUACUAUCCUCUUGCCUAGCAGACAAAGAUUUACUUCCGUGGAAAGGCUGAUUUAUGCGGAUCGACAUGAGAGUCCAACUACAUUGCCAUAAUCCAUGUUGUAUAUUUGAAAGAGGUUGACCUCCUUACUUAUUUCAUGUUAUACUCCUCUUCCCGCCAAACCCCUUUUCUCCUCAGUACACUAAGACAAAAUGUAGGACUGGUGUCAAUAAUUCAUCACGGUCCGCAUGUAACAAAUGAUACAAUGAUAAUUACGCAAUAUAAUAACAACAAAAUAAAGCAUAGAACACAUAUUUUUAGCACAAAAGUAGACAAAGAUAGCUUUAAAAAUAUUUUGGCCUCGCAAAUAAAAGACGCUCGUAAAAAAAUGAAAAUGAAGGAUAAAAUUGGGUGUCAACAAUUAUUUUUUUAUUGGGAUAAAACUUCACAUAUUUUUGCCUGAAUUGUUGUUUUAUGAAAGCCAAAUAUAAAGUAAUUUUGGUAUGACUUACUAAGGUCAACUAUAACACUUAACAAAUUUGAAUUAAAUUUGAGUCAUUAAAUUUCAUUGCUUUGACUGAGCUAUGCUAAAGCAAAUGUAAAUAUAUGUAAAAGCUAAUAUCUUAUCAUGCACAUGGUGUACAAAAAGGUUGAAAUCAAAGAGAACUUAAAAUAUCAAAUUUUGAUCGUCGAGGUAUGAUGAAUAUAUGGACUGUAAAUGCGACACGCGGACAGUCUGCAUGUCCAAUAAUAUGAGGUUUAGAAGGUUAUAGAUUUUGAAGUGGAACUAAAGAAUUUUAAUAAAUUUUUGAGGCAUUUUAGGAAGAAAUUAAAAAUAUAUUGUUAUCAAAUUUUAAUUUAAAUCGAAUGUUGUUUAACAAAAGUGAUAUUAUAAUAAAACUCUCAUAUUUAGGCUUGUUACUCGUAAGACUUCAACAUGGGACGACAGACAAUCUUAAACACCCAGUGUGUUACAUCCUUUCCCUUGGGAUCAUUCAUCCUCGAAAUAUGACAACACAUUAAUCAUCUACUUUCUCAAACAAAGGUCUUGGGCAUUCAAACUCACAUAAUUCUACCUUUUUAGAAGGUCUAAUCAAUUAUUUAAAGACUAUUUUAUUAAAUCGGAGGUUUGCAUGAUCAUAUCAAUCUCAUUCAUAAAGCUUCAACCAUAUUAACUUCUCUUGAAUGGUUCAUAUGCUUAAAAAAUCAUUCUAAUGGGAUUUCUAGGUUCCUCAAUUCAUAAUUAAGGCUAGGUUUAUAAUUCUAUACUAGUAGACAGUUUAACGGACUAAAAUUGAAAAUUAUUCAUAAUUAACCUGUCCCACAUAUUGUGCCAUUAAAAUAAUAAUUCUAGGUUUCAAUGUGUAAAAUCCUAUGAAGAGCAUAUCUUUCAAUUCAGGGAGGACAUCGAAGUAUGGAAGGAAAAAAUGAAUGAACAAAAAACACUUACCUCAAGAGAGAAAAUCACCAAGUCUUAGAAAAAUCUCCUCUAGGAUUCUCUGGUAAAACAUUUUACGUUAUGACUAAGUCUUAAUGAAAACUAACUUAAAAACACGAGUUACUGUUUCCCGACCUUCACUAUAGCGAAACUUUGCUACCUUCUCUAUGUAGCAUUCCCUCGUUAUAGCAAUCUCGCUAUUUAAAGAAAGUGUUCACUAUAGUGAAGCACUAGUUGAAUUUCACACUCGAUUUUCCAUUUCAGAUUUCUACCAACUCUUAACCCACUGAGAUCUACACAAGGGUACUAUCGCCCUAAACAAUCAUAACGAUGGAACAAGUCGUUACAUAUUUGCUGAAUAAUCUUAAUUGUAGUCAAAUAGUUGUUAUCUACUGAAACUUUGUUGAGGGGGAGUUUUCUGUAUUGAGGAUAAUGAGUAUGUUGUUUUAUGCAAGUUGUCAUAUUUUGUCAAUACAACAAUAAAGUCAUGAGUGUCGGACAAAAUGUUAGCUAGUUUUGGACAUCAUUCUGUUUUCAUUAUUUUCAUUUGGACAAAACUUCAUACUUUUAUCUGAAUUGUGAUCUUACGAAAGGCAAACAUCAAUUGGUAUGGCUUACCAAGGUUAACUGUAACACUUCAAAAAUUUGGAUUAAAUUUGAGUCAUUAAAUUUCAUUGCUUUGACUCGAGCUAUGUUAAAGCAAAUGCGAAUAUGUAAAAGUUAAUUUCUUAUCGUGUACAAAAAGUGCAAAAAGGUUGAAAUUUUUUUAAAAAAAAUAUCAAAUUUAGAUCGUUGAGGUAUGACAUAUAUACAGACUGUACAUGUGAAACGGGAACGGUCUACAUGUCCAAUCAUAUAUGAGGUUUAGAAGUUAGAAAUUUUCAAAUGGAACUAAAGAAUUUUCAUAAAUUUUUAGGCAUUUUAGGAAGAAAUUAAACAUAUAUUGCUAUCAAAAUUUCAAUCUAAAUCAGCUAUUGAACAAAAGUGGUGUUAUAAUAAAACUCUCAUAUUUAGACUCAUUACUCGUAAGUUUUCAACAUGAGACGACAGACAAUAAUAAAACUCUCAUAUUUCGACUCAUUACGCGUAAGUUCUCAACAUGAGACGAUGGACAAUCUUAAACAUCCGGGAUUUACAUCCUUUCCCCCUUAGGAACAUUCAUUCUCGAAAUAUGACUACACAUUAAUCAUCUUCUUUCUAAAACGAAGGCCUUGAGUUUUCAAACUUACAUAAUUUUACCUUUUUAGAAGGUUUAAUCAAUUAUUUAAAGAUGAUUUUAUCAAAUAGGAAGUAUGCAUGAUCAUAACGAAGUUGUGAAGUUUCGCUAUAGAGAAGGUCGGAAAACAGUAACUCACGGUUUUAUGUUAGUUUUUGUCCGUACUUAGUCAUAAUGUAAAAUAUUUGACCAGAGAACCCCAGAGGAGAUUUUUCCAAGACUUGGGGGGAAGUUAAUGAGGUUGAAAUAGUGAUCUACUAUUACAAAGAAAGUGUCCGCUAUAGUGAAACACUAGCAGAUUUUCAUACUCGAUUUUCCAUUUCCAGAUUUCUACUGACUCUUGACCCACAAAGAUCUACACAAGGGUACUAUUGCCCUAAACAACUAUAAUGACGGAAUAGGUCAUUACACAUCUGCUGAAUAAUCUUAGUUGUAGCCAAAUAGUUGUUAUCUACUGGAACUUUGUUCGAGGGAGAGUUUUCCUUGUCAUAUUUUUGUUGAUAAAACAACAAAGCCAUGAUUGUCAGACAAAAAUGUUAGCUAGUUUUGGACAUCAUUCUGUUUACAUUUGGACAAAACUUCACACCAUACCAGACCAGUUUUACUGUUAUGAACUCUACCAAGUUUUGAUGUGAUGAUGGGGGUAAGGUGCUAAUUUUUUAAGCUUUUGUUGUUGCCAGAACUAUGUAGUAUGGUUCGGCAACUGCCUUGAUCGAAAUAUUGGGGCUUUACGGAGAAUUUCUUAUUUUCUGAACAGGUAGACCUAAAAGGUCUAUGAGAGUCAUUCAGGGAGGAUAUGGGAUGGUUAUGAAAAGGGCAAAGUAGACGGCAAAUCAAUUUAUAGUCUUGGUUUUAUUUAAAAAAUUCAUGUCCAGACUACUUGCUUGACUAAUACCUACAUAACUAAUACCCGCAUAAGUAAUACAUGCAUAACUAAACCCUACAUAAGUAAUACUUGCAUAACUAAUACCCACAUAACUCUAUCCAACUACCAAACAACUAUGGAAAGAUCGAAGCAAUGAUAGCAGAGUGGUUGCUACUAGUAAUGUCUUGUCAUUGCAAACAAAUACAGGAAGAUGGUCAUGUUAGUUUGCAACAACACACGGCUGCUUCCAUAUUAUCAUACACAAUAAAGGACAAGCUUAAAGAAGUUGUAGUAGCUUAAGCUAUUCAAGAAUCCAAUGGUCCAUAAAGAACUAAUGGGGUGGUGGGUUAAAGAAUGUACAUUUUGGGAUAGAAUUUUUGUUCUGGAUGAUGAUCAAACAUCAUCAGCAUCACUUCCUGCAACAUGAGUAUCAUGACUAGCCCAGUAAUGGCUUCCAUCAGGGCCACAAAUCUUAAACCUGUUGAGUAUAAAAGAAAGUACCUCAGUGAGGACUUAUGAUAUGUUCCUAACUCAAUUCUAAAGAAAACUGAAGUAAUCAACUGACCGCUCAAGCACUGAUUUUCCUUCUUUGUACUUUUGGCUCUUCUCAUGGGCGGUCUCCUGAAAAGAAUUGUUAUAUUAGGAACAAAUAAAACUUCUAGCUACUGCCAAAUGACAAUGUCUAGCAUUUUAUCACUCCAUACUCACAUAUUUCCAUCCAACAAUUGACCCACAACAGACGCAGACAAUGUCUGCCACAGUGUGCAUACCAGUCAUCAUCACUCUAUCUUCUAUCUCGCCAGAAGUGACAUUCACCCUGUCAAAAGAAUAAAAAAGGAGUAUAGAAUAUACAGAACUACAAAGUGCAUUAUCAUUUUGUAUGUUUCUUCUAAAUGAUAAAAUGAAAUGAAGAGAUUUGAGAAGAGCAGAACUCUUGAACAGGAAAGCAAUCAAGUUGAGCAUAAUAUAUGUAUUUCAGCCAUGUAACUAUUGUAAUGCUGCUACCAAGUGGAAAAUAACCCAAGUCAAGUAAGAAUUUAUUCUAUAUAUUGAUGUGUUAAUAUUUGUACUCCUGGAAAAUACACUCAAAAGUACACGAUAUAAUAGUCUGGUAAAAUCCCCACUAGGUUCUAUAGUGAUUCCAAUAGAUCAAAUUCUGGUGCUAAUUUUAUAGUCAAUGACACAAAUGUAUGAAGAUAUACAUAUAAAGUACCAUGUCUUUAACAAACUAAACCUACAGGGUAUAGCCUGCCUUGUACACAACUUUUCAUGUGCACUCAAAUAUUCUAGGUUGGUUAUGAGUUAUGACCUUCCAUAAUAAUAAUGACUCAGAGCUGAUAACAAAAUCAAAGAUCCUGAGAGCAAUGUCAAUGACACAAAUGUAUGAAGAUAUAAAUAUAAAGUACCAUGUCUUUAACAACUAAACCUACAGGGUAUAGCCUGCCUUGUACACAACUUUUCAUGUGCACUCAAAUAUUCUAGGUUGGUUGUGACCUUCCAUAAUAAUAAUGACUCGGAGCUAAUAACAAAAUCAAAGAUCCUAAGCUACGUGACCCACGUAGAGUAAAAGCCAAAUAAUUUGCACAUACUCCAGUUGCACUCAACUUUUGAAAAACAAAUCUUUUUUCAUUUCAAAUCAUCUUUUUUCACUUUCUAGUUUAACAGUGUCCUCCACACCAGUAAAAGAAGGGGUGGAAAUCAAAUAAGAGGAUUUAUAUGGUAGCUUUUUUCAUCUUUCUGUACCAGAGGUAUGGAUAAGCUUGACCUUAGUAAUAUCAUUGUUCAUCUAACCAAGCUACAAAUAACUCAUGUCCCAUCAAUGCCAAGAAAAGCUCAACAACAAUCAGAGGAAAUAAAUGGUAAUUCAUACUCUAACAAGAAUAAAACCAACAGAAGUUGUAAGUUGCACUAGUGAUUUUCAUGCUGCAAGUAUAAAGAUUGGACGUGUGCAAAUGUCAGAAACAUUUCUGAUGAUUGAGUGUGCAGAAUCAAAGAGACUUACACCUUACUGAAGAGAUAAGCCUUCCCAUGUCUGCAGUGGAAAGACUGAAGGAAAACAUAGAGUUAGAUAACUUCAUGACUUAGAAUGACUACAUACAUUAUUUAGGGGCUAUAACAAGAAUGUACCAUAAACUUCAAUAUAAUUAAUUGCAGAAUCAGCAUUUCACUCCAUUCAAAAGCAUUUGAAUUUUCUAAGAAACAGUAGUUUCAAACCUCCAACACUUGAAAAUGUGCUCUGAUUNNNNNNNNNNNNNNNNNNNNNNNNNNNNNNNNNNNNNNNNNNNNNNNNNNNNNNNNNNNNNNNNNNNNNNNNNNNNNNNNNNNNNNNNNNNNNNNNNNNNNNNNNNNNNNNNNNNNNNNNNNNNNNNNNNNNNNNNNNNNNNNNNNNNNNNNNNNNNNNNNNNNNNNNNNNNNNNNNNNNNNNNNNNNNNNNNNNNNNNNNNNNNNNNNNNNNNNNNNNNNNNNNNNNNNNNNNNNNNNNNNNNNNNNNNNNNNNNNNNNNNNNNNNNNNNNNNNNNNNNNNNNNNNNNNNNNNNNNNNNNNNNNNNNNNNNNNNNNNNNNNNNNNNNNNNNNNNNNNNNNNNNNNNNNNNNNNNNNNNNNNNNNNNNNNNNNNNNNNNNNNNNNNNNNNNNNNNNNNNNNNNNNNNNNNNNNNNNNNNNNNNNNNNNNNNNNNNNNNNNNNNNNNNNNNNNNNNNNNNNNNNNNNNNNNNNNNNNNNNNNNNNNNNNNNNNNNNNNNNNNNNNNNNNNNNNNNNNNNNNNNNNNNNNNNNNNNNNNNNNNNNNNNNNNNNNNNNNNNNNNNNNNNNNNNNNNNNNNNNNNNNNNNNNNNNNNNNNNNNNNNNNNNNNNNNNNNNNNNNNNNNNNNNNNNNNNNNNNNNNNNNNNNNNNNNNNNNNNNNNNNNNNNNNNNNNNNNNNNNNNNNNNNNNNNNNNNNNNNNNNNNNNNNNNNNNNNNNNNNNNNNNNNNNNNNNNNNNNNNNNNNNNNNNNNNNNNNNNNNNNNNNNNNNNNNNNNNNNNNNNNNNNNNNNNNNNNNNNNNNNNNNNNNNNNNNNNNNNNNNNNNNNNNNNNNNNNNNNNNNNNNNNNNNNNNNNNNNNNNNNNNNNNNNNNNNNNNNNNNNNNNNNNNNNNNNNNNNNNNNNNNNNNNNNNNNNNNNNNNNNNNNNNNNNNNNNNNNNNNNNNNNNNNNNNNNNNNNNNNNAAUGUGAAAUGAAUAAAAAUGUUACUCCAUUAUUUAUAAACAAAAUCACCUUUCCAGUCAAUACAUUGGUACAAAUAUCCUUAUCAUUGAUAAUUUGGUCCAAAAGUACCCUUGUAACACCCAGCUACUUGAAAGAACUAGAAUUAGAACGAAACCGUUUUUGAAAAUAAUUAAAUUUGGAAAUUUUGGGAAGUUAUGCAAAGUAUGAGUUUUGGGUCAACUUCAAACGACCAUAACUCCUAGCACACGAUGAGUUAGGUGGGCUACAAGAUACCAUAUGAAAGAUCUUUGAAUUAUCUUUCCAACGCCACCGAGUUUGCUCAUUUUCAAGUUUGUAUGAGGGAGAUAUACCCGUUUGAAGUCGGGCUGUCCGGAUAAGGAAAGUCAACCGAAUUUUAGAAGGGUAUUUUGGUAUUUUCAUUACCCAAUUAACUAAAUUCAUUUUUAGUAAUUUAGUUAGGGUCUAAACUGAUUUGGUUCAGUUUAGACAAUUACAAUUCAUGCAGGGUUUUUAGAAAAGAGGAGAAAAUAGGAGAAAGGUCAAGAUUCGUCGAUUUCUUGAGGAUUUGGUUGCGGAUUUCGCCAAGGGUUGAUCCCUAGAAAGGUAUGUGAGUUCAGAUAGCAUUGGGUUCAUUCACAACCGCGCCAAUCAUGUUAAUUUCAGUGUUAAAUUCGUUCUAGAAAGUUGAAGGUUAAUGUUCUUGAUUUGUGUUCUUGAAAUUGACUUUUGUUCUUGAGAUUAGGAUGAGAUUGAUGAGUUCCUGUGUACAUAUAUUAGGGUUGUGUUUGAUUAGAUUCUUGUGUACAUAUAUUGGGUAUCUGAAUCGAAAAAGAAAUUGAGAAAAAGAAUCGAAAUUAGUCGAGUUAAGAUUAGAAAAUGAGAAGAAAAACUCGUCGAGUUUAAUUACCUGGGGGAGAGCUGGCGCGACGCGCCACUGAUACGCCAGCAGGGCUAGCGUGGCGCGCCAGCAGUGCGCCAAAAAGCAGUCUCUGAACUUCAGGGGAUGGCGCCCCGCGCCAGCAGUGUGCUCGGGUCGUCUACCCCUACCCUUUUUUCGUCGUUUAGCCCGUCUGAGUCUUUCUAAAGUGUACUAACACUUCCUAUUGAUUCUAACUACUCUAAAUGACUUCUAAACAUCUAGAAAUCAUCCGUAAACACGAAUCAUAACCUUGAAUCCAUAAAAUCAAAUUCAAGGAAAGUUAAGAGCUAAGUCUUGAGAGUUCUUAGAGUCUUUUCAAAAGUCUUUUGCAAACGUUUAAACUUGUUUUAAAGACUUGAGCAUUGAGUUGAGUAACAGCAAGAGUGAAGUUCAUUUCUUCAAAAGACUAUAUGGGAACUAAGUAUUCCCAAGAGUUAAAAUAUUUUCACAUUUAGAUAAAAGAGGAAACACCGAUUUCCAAGAGAGGAAACAUUGAUUUCCAAGAGAGCUGUUAAGCUAGUUUUUGAGUAAUAAUCUCAAACGACAGAAAUAGUUAUGUUUUUAAACAUAUGAGCUAGUAUAUUUUGGGAGUAGUAUUGAGCACCGAUUUGGGGACAAAUUUGAGUUCAGACAAUUCAAAGUCUUCAUAAACUGUGUAGCCAACAUGGGUAGAAAAGGGUAAUACUUUUUAGAUGAUUCCUUAAUGCUUUUAGCAUAGACUAGUGGAUCCACUUAGUGAAUUAGGUUCUAUAACCCCGGCAAGGUAUAGGACGGCCCUAGCAGCGUGAGGCAAGACAUUGUACCAUCACUUAAGCUCAUAAAGAUGGUUGUCGGUUAAAGAAACUCCCACAGAGAUAUUUUUUAUUCUUAUAUACACAGAGUUACUUGUAUUUUCAUAUACAAAUUGAGUUAUUGUGUGUUUUUCAAUACACUGAGUUAUUAUCUUCAUGUUUUAAAGUUUUUAUUUAUACUGCAUCCUUAUUACUACUUUAUAUUGAAAUGAGUAGAGUUGAGUUGAGACAAGGUAAAUUCCUUCAGUUCCAGUUCAAGCUUAUGUUAUGUUUAUAUUUCCCCUCGCAUGCUCGUACAUUCAAUGUAUUGAUGCCAUUUGGCCUGCAUUGUUUUAUGAUGUAGAUAUAGGUAACCAGAAUCAACAUCCAUCGCCUUGUUGAUCCAGUUGAGCAUUCAGAGUCGUUUGGUGAGCCUCCUUGCUUUCCGGAGGAUCCCUAUUUACAUUGCUUUAGUAUUUUCAGUUGUUAAGAUGAUCGGGGGUCUUGUCCCGACAUCCCUCAUAGUUUUAGAGGCUUCAUAGAUAACUAGUUAGUGUAUUUGUCUUUACAUUUUCAUUCUGUUAUGUUGAGACUUGAGUUUGCCUUAUUGGCCAGUUGAAUGUUUCUUUUAUAACAUUCUAGUUUUAUUACAUGGAUUUAUCUUUGUUGAGUAAUGUCUUCCGCUGAGUAGUAAGCCAGGCCAGGGGUCGCUUGGGGCUAGCAAUGGCUCUCGAGUGCCAGUCCCGCCUAGUGUGUAGGCUUGGGGUGUGACAAACUUGGUAUUAGAGCACAGAGUUCAAGAGUCCUAGGGAGUCUAUAAAGUUGUGUCUGUAGAGUCCUAGUUAUCAGUGUGAAGCGUGUCACAUCUAUAAUUAGAAGGCUGCAACAUUUAGAAAUAUCUCACUUCUUUCAUACUCAUUUCGUGCGAUAGAGUUUAUCUCUAUAAAGUCUCUUUCUAACUCAUGCUUGCGCGUGUCUUUCAAAGCAUGCCUCCACGAAGAGCUGUCAGAGGUCGUCCUGCUAGGAGGAAUGUGGAGGAAUAAGGGGUACCUAAUGCACCUGAAGUGCAACCCCAAGGAGAGAUCACCAAUGAUGAGUUCCAUGAGGCCAUCCAGAUGUUGAGCCAAGUUAUGACCAACCAAGCUGGGCAACAAAGAGAGAAUCGUCAGGAAGGGGUUGACACUUCUAGGAUUCGUGAGUUUUUAAGGAUGAAUCCUCUAAGCUUCACUGGUUCAAGUGUCACUGAGGAUCCGAAGAACUUUGUAGAGGAACUGCAGAAAGUGUUUGAGGUUAUGCAUAUUGCCGAUGCUGAGCGAGUGGAACUAGUUGCAUAUCAACUGAAGAGUGUAGCUAUUCUGGUUUGACCAAUGGAAGAAGGGUAGAGCUGAGGAUGCACCAAUAGUGAGUUGGGUUGUGUUCGAGAGUGCCUUCAUGAGAUGUUUCUUUCCCCGUGAGCUAAGAUAGGCAAAGGUAAGAGAGUUCCUCACUCUUAAGCAGGAAUCUAUGAGUGUUCAUGAGUACAGUCUAAAGUUCACCCAACUUUCCCGCUAUGCUCCGGAGAUGGUUGCUGACAUGAGGAGAAGGAUGAUUUUAUUCGUUGCUGGGUUGUCUUGUCUGUAAGUAAGGAAGGCAAGGUAGCUAUGCUGAUAGGGGACAUGGACAUAACAAAGUUGAUGAUCCAUGUGCAAUAGGUUGAGGAAGAUAAACUGAGAGAUAGAGAAGAGUUUCGGAACAAGAAAGCUAAGACAUCAGGGAAUGAGUCCGGGCAGUAGAAGAGUAAUGCCAACCAGUCUUCUUUCCAACAUAAGCAAAAGGGACCUGCUCCAUCAUUUGCUAGUGCACCUGCACCAAGGAACAGAGGUGAGUUCAACAAUCAGAUUCAUAAAACUUCAUAUCUAGACCUGCACAGUCUCAAGGUAGUGUUGCACAAGGAGGCAGUGGGAUUCCUGCAUGUACUAGUGUGGUAGGACCCACUCAGGGGUGUGUCGUGAUGGCUCUACUGAUUGCUUUAAGUGUGGUCAGAACGGUCACUUUAUGAAGGAGUGCCUUAAGAACAGACAAGGUAAUGGUAAUGGGGGUAAUAAAGCCCAAUCUUCUUCAAUUUCUCCACUAGACAAAGUUGCACCUAAAGGAGCUACUUCAGGGGCAGGCGGAGGAUCAAACUACCUUUAUGCUAUCACUAGUUGUCAAGAGCAAGAGAAUUCUCUAGAUGUUGUCACUGGUAUGAUCAAAGUCUUUAGUUAUGACGUUUAUGCCUUGCUAGAUCCAGGAGCGAGUCUAUUUUUUGUGACUCCAUAUGUUGCAAUGAAUUUUGAUGUUCUUCCUGAGCAACUUCUUAAGCCUUUUAGUGUUUCUACACCUGUUGGUGAGUCUAUUCUAACUGAGAGAGUCUAUCGUGAUUGUACCAUUUACGGCAAUCACAAGAGCACCAUAGCUGACCUAGUUGAGUUAGACAUGGUAGAUUUUGAUGUCAUUCUAGGUAUGGACUGGCUUCAUGUUUGUUAUGCCUCAAUCGAUUGUAGAACUCGAGUAGUCAAGUUCCAGUUUCCUAAUAAGCCAGUUAUAGAGUGGAUGAGUAGUUUAGCAGUGCCUAAGGGUCGUUUUAUUUCGUACCUUAAGGCGAGAAAGUUAGUUUCCAAGGGUUUUGUCUAUCACUUAGUCCGAGUUAAUGAAUUUAGUGUUGAGACACCUCAUAUUCAGUCAGUUUCAGUUGUUAGUGAGUUUCCAGAAGUCUUUCUAAAUGAUCUUCCCGGAGUCCCUCCUAAGAGAGAAAUAGACUUCGGUAUAGAUAUUUUUUCCGAUACUCGUCAUAUCUCUAUUCCUCCAUAUAGAAUGGCACCAGCAGAGUUGAAAGAGUUAAAAGAGCAGUUGAAAGAUCUCCUACAAAAAAGAUUCUAUUCGACCAACUGUCUAACCUUGGGGCGCUUCGGUCUUAUUUGUGAGAAAGAAAGAUGGUUCUCUUAGAAUGUGUAUAGAUUACCGUCAGUUGAACAAGGUUACUAUCAAGAAUAAGUAUUCUCUUCUGAUAAUUGAUGAUCUUUUCGAUCAACUUUAGGGUGCCACUUGCUUUUCUAAGAUAGACCUCAGAUCUAGCUAUCAUCAGUUGAAAGUAAGAGAAAGUGAUAUCCCUAAGACAACAUUCAGGACCCGUUAUGGUCAUUAUGAGUUCCUAGUUAUGACCUUUGGUUUGACCAAUGCUCAUGCAUCAUUCAUGGACCUUAUAAACAUAGUAUUCCAGCCUUAUUUAGAUAUGUUUGUUAUCGUAUUCAUUGAUGACAUUCUAAUCUAUUCGAGGAAUAAGGAAGAUUAUGUUAGUCAUCUCAGAAUAGUCCUUCAAACUCUAAAGGAUAAGGAGUUAUAUGCUAAGUUUUCUAAGUGUGAAUUUUGGCUUGAGUCUGUGGCAUUCUUAGGCCAUGUUGUUUUCGGUGAUGGAAUUAGAGUUAAUACUCAGAAAAUAGAGGUAGUACAGAAUUGGCCUAGACCCACAUCUCCAAUUGAUAUUAGGAGUUUCUUGGGAUUGGCUGGCUAUAUAGAAGAUUCGUCGAGGGGUUUUCAUCUAUUUCAUCCCCAUUGACUAAGUUGACUCAGAAAAUAGAUAAGUUUCAAUGGUCUAAAGCUUGUGAGAAAAACUUUCAGGAAUUGAAAAAGCGGUUGACUACUGCCCCAGUAUUGACCUUACCAGAGGGUAAACAAGGUUUUGUCGUAUAUUGUGAUACGUCCUGAGUCAGUUUGGGUUGUGUGCUGAUGCAAAAUGGCAAGGUUAUAGCUUAUGCCUCAAGACAACUUAAGGUUUACGAGAAGAAUUACCAACCCAUGAUCUAGAGUUGGUUGCCGUAGUAUUUGCUUUAAAAAUAUGGUGUCAUUAUCUUUAUGGUGUUCAUGUAGAUGUGUUCAUCGAUCACAAGAGUCUUCAGUAUGUGUUUAGUCAGAAAAAGCUUAAUCUCAAACAGAGAAGGUGGUUAGAAUUACUCAAGGAUUAUGACAUGAGUAUUCGCUAUCACCUAGGUAAGACUAAUGUUGUUGUUGAUGCCUUGAGUAGAUUGUCUAUGGGUAGUACCACAUAUUUUGUGGAAGAUAAGAAAGAGUUAGGAAAAGAGGUGCAUAGACUUGCAUGAUUACGAGUUUGAUUAAGGGAUUCCGACGAAGGAAGAGUAGUGGUAAUGAAUGGGGCUGCAUCAUCAUUAGUGUUUGAAGUGAAAAAGAAACAAGACCAAGAUCCUAUUUUGCUUGAAUUGAAGGCAAAUGUUCAUAAGCAAAAAGUAAUGGCUUUUGAACAAGGGGAAUAUGGUGUAUUGAGGUACCAAUGUAAAUUGUGUGUGCCAAGGGUGGAUGAACUUCAAGAGAGGAUCAUGGAAGAAGAUCACAGCUCCAGAUAUUCUAUCCAUCCGGGUUCCACCAAGAUGUAUCGUGACUUGAAAGAAGUUUAUUGGUGGAGUAGUAUGAAGAAGGGCAUUGCAGAGUUCGUUGCUACGUGUUUGAAUUGCCAACAAGUUAAAGUAGAGCACUAGAAGUCCGGUGGUAUGGCUUCGAAAAUAGAUCUUCCAGAGUGGAAGUCAGAGAUGAUCAAUAAGGAUUUCAUCACAGGUUUACCAUGGUCUCGCAGACAACAUUAUUCCAUUUGGGUGAUUGUAGAUCGAAUGACUAAAUUAACCCACUUUUUGCCGGUAAAGACUACCCAUUCAGCAGAGCAUUAUGCUAAGUUAUAUAUUCAAGAGGUAGUUAGACUUCAUGGAGUUUCGGUAUCGAUUAUUUCAGAUAGAGGUGCACAAUUUACUGUAAUAUUUCAGAAGUCAUUCCAGAAAGGUUUGGGUUUGAAAGUGAACUUGAGUACUGUUUUUCAUCCUCAGACUGAUGGUCAAGCAGAGCACACCAUUCAGACUUUAGAAGAUAUGUUGAGAGCUUGCUUGAUUGAUUUCAAGGGUAAUUGGGAUGAUCACCUACCUCUCAUAGAGUUUGCUUAUAACAAUAGUUACCACUCUAACAUCCAAAUGGCUCCGUAUGAGGCUCUUUAUGGGAGAGGAUGCAGAUCCCCUAUUGGAUGGUUUGAAGUUGGUGAAACUAGGUUGAUAGGACCAGACUUAGUGCAUCAAGCUAUGGAGAAAGUGAAAGUUAUUCAAGAGAGAUUGAAAACAACGCAGAAUCAUCAAAAAUCCUAUACAGAUGUUAGGAGAAGAGACUUAGAGUUUGAAGUAGAUGAUUGGGUUUACUUGAAAGUUUCACCCAUGAAGGGUGUUAUGAGAUUUGGUAAGAAGGGGAAGCUUAGUCCCCGGUACAUUGAUCCUUACAAAAUAUCCAAGAGGAUUGACAAAGUAUAUUAUGAGUUAGAGCUACCCUAAGAGUUAGUAGCGGUUCAACCGGUAUUUCACAUUUCUAUGCUGAAGAAGUGUAUAGGCGAUCCUUCACUUAUAGUACCUACUGAAGAUAUUGGUAUUAAAGAUAUCUUAUCAUAUGAGGAGAUUUCGUGUAAAUUCUAGAUUGCCAUAUUCGCAAGUUGAUGACCAAGGAAGUAGCAAUAGUCAAGGUUCUAUGGAGAAAUCAGUUUGUUGAGGAAGCUACUUGGAAAGGUGAGGAGGACAUGAAGAAGAGAUACCCACAUCUCUUUGAGUCCGGAGAAAUUCCAAAUUAAGGUACUAAUCCUUUUCUUGGCAUUUGUUUUAAGUUGGCAUGUUGUAUUUAUAUUUUGACUUGUUGGGUGUUUGAGCUGAAUAUUAGAUGUUACACACUUUGCCUACUAAGAGUAAUCUCAUUCGAGGAUGAAUGUUCCCAAGGGGGGAGAUAUUGUAACACCCCACUACUUGAAAGAACUAGAAUUAGAAAGAAACCAUUUUUGGAAAUAAUUAAAUUUGGAAAUUUUGGGACGUUAUGCAAGGUAUGAGUUUUGGGUCAACUUCAAACGACCAUAACUCCUAGAACAAGAUGAGUUAGGUGUAGUACUAGAUAACAAAAGUCAACCACUGAGUUUACUCAUUUUUGAGUUCGUAUGAUGGAGAUAUGUCUGUUUGAAGUCAAGUUGUCUAGAUAACGAAGUCAACCAGAUUUUAGAAAGGUAGUUUGGUCUUUUCAUUACCCAAUUAACUAAAUUCGUUUUUAGUAAUUUAAUUAGGGGCCUAAACUGAUUUGGUUCAGUUUAGACAAUUACAAUUCACGCUAGGAUUUUUAGAAAGAGUUCAAGAAGAGAAAAGAGGAGAAAGGUCAAGAUUCGUCGAUUUCUCGAGGAUUUGGUUGCGGAUUUCGCCAAGGGUUGAUCUCUAAAGAGGUAUGUGAGGUCACAUAGAGUUGGGUUCAUUCACCCAUGCGCCAAUCAUGUUAAUUUCAGCGUUAAAUUCGUUUUAGAAAUUUUGAAGGUUAAUGUUCUUGAUUUGUGUUCUUGAAAUUGACUUUUGUUCUUGAGAUUGGGAUGAGAUUGAUGAGUUCUUGAAGAAAUCAUGUCAAUUUUAGGGUUGUGUUUGAUUAGAUUCUUGUGUACAUAUAUUUUGUAUCUGAAUCUAAAAAGAAAUUAAGAAAAAGAAUCGAAAUUAGUCGAGUUAAGAUCAUAAAACGAGAAGAAAAACUCGUCGGGUUUGCUUGGGGAAAGCUGGCGCAACGCACCACUGAUACCCCAACAGGGCUGGCGUGGCGUGCCAGUUGUGCGCCAAGAAGCAGUCUCUGAACUUCAGGGGAUGGCGUCCCAUGCCAGCAGUGCGCUCGGGUCAUCUGUUUUUACCCUUUUUUCGUCAUUUAGCCCCGUCUGAGUUCUUCUAAAGUGUACUAACACUUCCUAUUGAUUCUAACUACUCUAAAUGACUUCUAAACAUCUAGAAAUCAUCAAUAAACAUGAAUCAUAACCUUGAAUCCAUAAAUUCAAAUUCAAGGUAAGUUAAGAGCCAAGUCUAGAGAGUUCUUAGAGUCUUUUCAAAAGUCUUUCGCAAACGUUUAAACUUGUUUUAAAGACUUGAGCAUUGAGUUGAGUAAGAGCAAGAGUGAAGUUCAUUUCUUCAAAUGACUAUAUGGGAACUAAGCAUUUCCAAGAGUUAAAAUGUUUUCACAUUUAGACAAGAGAGGAAACACCGAUUUCCAAAAGAGGAAACAUCGAUUUCCAAGAGAGCUUUUAAGCUAGUGUUUGAGUAAUAAUCUCAAACCACAGAAAGAGUUAAUUUUUUUAAACAUAUGAGCUAGUAUAUUUUGGGAGUAGUAUUGAGCACUGAUUUGGGGAUAAAUUUGAGUUCAGACAAUUGAAAGUUUCCAUAAACUGUGUAGCCAACAUGGAUAGAAAAGGGUCAUAAUUUUUAGAUGAUUCCUUAAAGCUUUAAGCAUAGACUAGUGGAUCCACUUUGUAAGUUAGGUUCUAUACCCUAGCAAGGUAUAGGACAGCCCUGGCAGCGCGAGGCAAGACGUUGUACCAUCACUUAAGCUCAUAGAGAUGGUUGUCAGUUAGACAAACUCCCAUAGAGAUAUUUUGUAUUCUUAUAUACACAAAGUUACUUGUAUUUUCAUAUACAAACUGAGUUAUUGUGUGUUUUUAAAUACACUGAGUUAUUACCUUCAUCUUUUAAAGUUUUUCUUUAUACUGCAUCCUUAUUAGUUAUUACUACUUUAUAUUGAAAUGAGUAGAGUUGAGUUGAGACAAGGUAAGUUCCUUCAUUUCUAAUUCAAGCUUAUGUUCUGUUUAGAUUUCCCCUCGCAUGCUCGUACAUUCAAUGUACUGAUGCCAUUUGGCCUGCAUUAUUUUAUUAUGCAGAUACAGAUAACCAGGAUCAGCAUCCAGCGCUUCAUUGAUGCAGUUGAGCAUUCAGAGUCGUUUGGUGAGCCUCCUUGCUUUCCGGAGGAUCCCUAUUUACAUUUCUUUAGUAUUUCCAGGUUUUAGGAUGAUCGGGGAUCUUGUCCCGACAUCCCUCAUAGUUUUAGAGGCUUCAUAGACAGCUAGUUAGUUCAUUUGUCUUUACAUUUUCGUUCUGUUAUGUUGAGACUUGAGUUUGCCUUAUUAUCCAGUUGAAUGUUUCCUUUAUAACAUUCUAGUUUUAUUACAUGGAUUUAUCUUUGUAGAGUAAAGUCUUACGCUGAGUAGUAAGUCAGGCCAAGGGUUCACUUUGGGCCAAUAAUGGUUCUCGAAUGCCAGUCCCUUCCAGGGUGUAGGCUUGGGGCGUGACAACCCUAUAGUUACUAAAUGGGUCAAAAAUAUCAUUUUUCGAAUAAAUAUAUUAUUUCUCUUCUUUUUAAACACAUUUUGUUCCUAAUAAAUGUUAUGUUAAAGAACUUUAUUCUUGUUUUCUUUCUUUUACAAUCACUUUAAGUAAUAAAAAUGUAGAAAAUAUUUUUUUCUUCUUAAUCUCAUUUUAUCAAUUAAAAUAAAAUAACUCCAUGUACUCUUUUAACGGAUAAUAUAUGUCAUAAUUAUAAGAUCAUAGUAAAUACACGAUGAAUUUUUAUAUAAGGAUAAAAAAUUAUAAUAUGAUGGGAUUUUUAUUUUAUUUUUUCCCGAAUUGAAGCAGGAUAAAUAUUUGCUAAUUAAAAAAUAUUAUUAGAAAAAGAAUGUUUUAAAAAGAAAAUAAAUAAUAUAAUUAUUUGAAAAGGGUUUUUGACCUAUUAAAUAACAAUAAAGACAUUUUUGGACCAAAGUAAUAACUGCAAAAAUAUCUUUAGACCAAACCAUAAAUAGAAGACAUUUUUGUUCAUUUCACAUAGUUUAAGGAAAUUUUUAACCCUUUUUCAUUUAGAAGAUAUAUGUUUAGAGUAAAUUUUAGGUUUAGCAAACAUAAAAAAUCAUAAUUAGCGCUCUAUAACUACAAUUUUGUUAUUUUGCGCUUCCAUAGCAGUUUGCUAUGGAGCAUCAGAUUUGUAUAAAUCGCAGGCGAGCAUCUCGUUUGUAUGAAAGCGCAACAAUUGUAUAUCUAUAUUGAUUAUAUAUAUAUAUAUAUAUAUAUAUAUAUAUNNNNNNNNNNNNNNNNNNNNNNNNNNNNNNNNNNNNNNNNNNNNNNNNNNNNNNNNNNNNNNNNNNNNNNNNNNNNNNNNNNNNNNNNNNNNNNNNNNNNAGAAAGAGAGAAAGGCAAAAGAGAACUGGUAGGGAAAAAUCUGUGUUUGUAUAAUUAUAAGUGUAUAGAACAAAAAUAUAUGUAUUUGUAUAUACAAUUUUCUCUCGCUUAGUACUUCCUUAGUAGUAUUUGGUUCCCUGAAGAUCUUCUUGCUGCUGCGAGCAACAAAUGACAUGUGUUGUUCUUUUGCCUUGUGUCUGGUGAUUAUAAGACUCCCUUGUGGUGCAAGAUGUACAUCAACUGAAGUAGUUGAUUAUAGUGUAGUAUAUUCAUGUUGAUGAUGACUAAGCAUAUUCCACUUGGAGAAGUCAACUUUUAAAUGUAUUCUUUGUGAAUUAGACAUAGAGAAAGUGGGAUUUGAUAAAUCACCAUUGACUGGACCUGCAUGUGCAACCUAUUCCUUACUGCCACUAGCAGAACCUAAAUCUGCAAUUGGAGCCUUAUCAAUUUGGGUUUCAUUACCUCUGUGUGGAUCAUCACUUUGACAUAUUCUUCAUGAUCACCAUAUGAUCCUUCAACUGAGGGGUCAAUGACACUUUCAUCAUCAAGGAGUAGCAUUUCCACCAAUAACUUGUGUACUAUCAGUCUGUACUUCCCCUAAAUUAUGAUUAUCAUGUGCUUACAAUUUAAAUAAAGAUUCAACAAAAGUAACAAGGUGAGGUGAGAUAUCAACGUUAGUCUGAGAUUGAUUUGGAGACACAUAGGGUAAUGUGUUUUUAUCAAACACAUGUCUGUAUACAUACAACCUCCUUGUAGGGGGAUGAUAGCAUUUAUAUCAUUUGAGUAAUUUGUUGUACCCUAUGAAUACACAAAGGUAAGUCUUCAGACUGAAUUUGUUGCUACCCUUGAUAUAUGAAAAACAUCUAUACCCAAACACCUUUAGGCUAUUGUAAUCAGGUUGCUCUCCAUACAACGUAGAAAAUGGAGUCAUCAUUUUUAAGAAUGAUCAGGAGGGCAGUCUAUUAAUGAGGAACACUGCAGUGAGGGAAGUCUAACCCAUAUAAACAAAGGUAGGUUAGCAUGAGGUAGUAGAGUUAAGACAGUCUCCACAAUAUGCCUAUGUUUUCUUUCUGACAAUCUUCCAAAUACUUGAUGAAGUCUGUCUUGAUAAUCUCACCACCUCCAUCACACUGAAAUAUCUUAGUUUCUUUAGAAAAUUAUUUUUCCACCAUUUUCUGAAAUUUUACAAAGACUUCAAAAUAUUCAGGUAUCAUUUUCGAUGGAUAAAUCUAUGUAUAUCUUAUGUGAUCAUCUAUAGAAACAACAAAAUAUUUCAUAUGUUGAGAAGAUUCAACGAGAGCAGGUCCCAUGAGUCAUAAUGAGUUUUCGAUAAAGGUUCCUUCUCUAAUUUUAUUUCUCAAACCAAAUGAAAGUUUACAACUCUUUCCCAACUGGCAACUAGAACAAACAAUAUACAUUUUAUUCCAACUACUAACAUUGAUGUAGUUAUUAUUACUCAAAACUUUUAAAGAUUUCAAACUAGCUUGUCCUAAUAUAAUAUACCACAUGUUGUUUGAUGCGUUCCAAUCGUGUCCAGCAGUUUAUCAUAGAGACUGUUAUCUUGCAAAGCAUAUAAUCCAUUCCUUUUAAAUCCCUUGACCAGUAGUGACCUUGUCUUCUUGUCAUUUACAACAAAGUUAGUUUUAUUAAUUCAAGAGUGCAACAAUUAUCCUUUCCAAGUUUACUAAUUGAGAAUAGAUUUUUAUCAAUUUAGGAACUACAAAAACUUCUCUUAACUUUAGGCCUGAUCCUGAUAUGUUCUCAACAUGUGUUAUGUCUAACUUUUAUCCAUUCCCAAUAAUGAUUUUAUCUGGUCCAUUGUAGUGUUUAAGACCAGUUAGAAUACUUGAGUUAUAUGUCAUAUGACUACUUUCUUCUGAGUCCACAUACAAGGUGUUAUUGGUAGAGUUUUGUAGAUUAGUAGCAGUUAAUGCUUGUGGUAGCUCAUCAGUAGCUUGGUAAGAGUAGUCUAACUUUGAUUCAUUCCCAAUAUCGUUCCUCUCUUGACUUCCACUUGAAGGACUGUUCUGAGAACUUGGUCCAUAUUUGCCGUUAUAAUAACUUGUUCCUUGUCCAGCAGGCUCAAAGCCUCUUCCUCUGAAAUUGAAGUUAUUAAUUCCUCUUCUUUUAGAGUAGUUUUCUCUUCACCUGCCCCUUUGGGCAGAGAAUGCCACAUUAUGGUUUUGUUGCGACACUUCAUUUUCAUCCUCCCUCAUAUCAAAAUCCCUGAGAGCAUUAACAAAUUGAUUAAGAGUGAGAUAUGGUGUCUUACCUAGCAUGAAAGUCCUGAAGGUCUUGUACUUGAGACCUAAACUUCUAGUAAAAUUAAUUACAUUUUUUUUAUCUUCAUACAUAGGCUUGUGAAUGGCUGCAAGGCCAUCACAUAUGCCUUUGAAUUCUUUAAUAUAUUAAUCAAUAUUUUUGGUUCCUAACCUAACACUUUGCAGUUGUUGUUUGAGCUGGAACUCCUUAUCUUUCGUUGUUUGAAGAUAAGCUUCUUACGAGCAUUCUCACAUCUCCUUGUCAGUUGAGCAACCUACAAUCAGGUACAUGCUUUCUUUUGUUAAGGUACUUGAGAUCCAACUUCUUAGCAACACAUCUUUCUCUUCCCAGUCAUCAAUAUUGUUGUUGUCUUCCUUCUCUUCCCGGUUAUCAAUAUUGUUGUUGUCUUCUGCAUCCUUCUCAACUGCUACAACUUUUUCAACAGUCUGUCCAAUGUAACAUGUACUUUUAGUUGGUUCAUUCUUUGUGAUGAGAUAGGUUAAUUUCAUCACUUGAAUCAACUGAGACAAUAGUGUUCUCCAUAUAAGAUAAUUUGUUGGCUUGAGUUUAAUGGAACAAGACACAAUAAGAUGGUGAAGUGAGGAGGUUGAUAAGGUGUUGGUAAAAGAGGCCAUUGCAAUUCGAUAUUGUGGUUAUUCUACUUUUUGGAUCUAACAUGUUAAAGAGCGGAAAAACUUUAAUGCUCUGAUACCAUGCAGAAUUCUCACGUAAAGUAUAGAGAAAUCAAGGAUUGUAUUAAUAAUUAAAAUUGUUGAGUACAUGCUCCUAAUAUAGGAGAAAAGUCCUACAUUAGCUACACUAGGAGUCCUACUACAAUACAAAUAUAUUAUUUACAUGAAUAGUAUUACUACUAUAACUAAAACACAUUAUCCUAGUCGACUUUAGCCUCAUACACGAUACAUCAGCUUAGUUAUACAUAAGUUAGGAUUUAGUAGUCUAGUCCUAGUGUGACUCUAACUCUACAGCAGUAAACACAUUAGUCUGCUUCCUUGGAGCUGUUCCUUUAACGUGUUUCAAUCAUUAGCUUCCUUCAUCUUCAACAUAUUACACCAACAUUCCCUAUAAUUGUUUGAUUCUAUGAGAUAUACUCUGAGACAAUUAAAAUUAUUUCUUGCCUUCUCAUUUUUUAUUAUGCAGUUUCUCUACCAUUUUGAUUAAAUAAAGGAUUAUUAUGAUAUAAACAACUUACAAUUCUCUGAAGCAUCAAGCAUGCAUUGAACGGCUAAAGUGAAAAUGUAAAGUAUUUCGAGAAGAAACCUUUUAUUUUGUGACGAUAUCAGGUGUGUAAGACUUUCUUUUUUGUAUAGACAUAAUAAAGUUCUUGAUGUGGAAUGUUAUUUCAACAUAUGGUGUGAAAAUUUACUCUAAAAUAUUCAAAUAUGUCAGAGAAAUUGGUCAAUUAUGAAGUCAGCUUAGUGCGCUUUGAUCUUCUUAUUCUUUUUUUUGGUAAGGACAAAUAUUUAGAUAAAUACGAAAUUAAGUGUAUAGUACAGUACUGUUUUGGGCAUUCCUCAAGAUUGGAUGUUGGGCCAUAGUGUGGCCAAUAGUAUCAAUAUUACAAACAAACAUGCUCCUCACAAAAAAAGUUGUUUGUGUGAUCUCUAUUACUUUCAAAAAUUCAUAAUAAAACUACUAGAUAUUGUUGUUUAUGAAGAAUAUAAUUUGGAUGUGCAAAAUUUGAACUUCAUUUCCUGCUACAAACCUAAUUGACCUCAACUUCAAAACAUUACUUGUUGACAUUUUGAAUACCAAAAUUUCAGAAAUCUGGUCCUGUUCAUUCCAUUCUAACUACUCUAUUAUCUGUUCUGUUUAAUAUCUAAAUGAUUGUAGCAUAACAUGAGCAAAUAAAUAACAAGUAGCACUAAUGGUCUAGUGGUAGAAUAGUACCCUACCGCGAUACACACUCGGGUUCGAUUCACGGCUGGUGCAUUCUUGGGUUAGCUGUGAAGGUAAAAUCUGUGCUCAAUGCGGUGAUUUGGGUCUCCGCACUCAUCCGACUAAACAUGGUGAUAGUUUGCACAUCUAAGCUUCCCUUUUUAGAUUGUAGUUUGUCGGGACUCAACUUUGUUAUCCUCCCUUUUUAGAUUGUAGUUUGUCGGGGCUCAACUUUGUUUUCCUUGUUUUGUCAUGUUUAGUAUUAUAUGGGGAAUGUUUUAUUACAUGUUUGCAUAUAACCACACAUUUAGAAAUAUGCAAUCUUCAUGAAUUAGAACAACGAAGGUGGUAUUGGAUGCCAGAGUAUAUAUCAUAUUUCAAAGGUCUCAAGAACCUUAAGUGGAAGGCGUUGAACUGAUCUUACAUCUCAAAAGCUUCAGAUACGAUGUUUAGACAAGUAGGUGGAAGCUUGAGAUCAGUUGUGUAAUUCAGGCUAUUCAGUGAUCUACUAGUCUAGCAGCUAUAGAUAUCUCAAGAUAAUAAAUAUGACAUCUAAACUAAGAAAUGUGCAAAGAGCUAUCUUUAUAAGGAAUGUACAACUUUAUAACUACAAAUUAAAAGAGCAAAAUCAAACCUUAAACUCAUGAAUUUGUUUCACAGUGCAUAUUAACCUCAUGUCACCAACCAUGAGAAGGACUAACCCUAUGCCUGUCAUCAUCUCUCAAUGCAGGUUGAAGCUUAUAACCUUUUCUUUUGGGUAUGCUUGCUCCAAGAACAACUUCCUUAAUGAAUUGAGUUCUCCAACGACAUCACUGAUCCGCUUUCUUUCUUUUGGAGAUUCAACGGAGCAGGAAACUCCGAUUUGAAUCACCUUAACUAAGAAUGACAGAAAUAUGUUGCCAGCACUGCUUGUAUUGUCAUCAACUUUGUAUUUCAUUCCAAGUUCAUCUCUUUCCUGGAGAAGAAUGGGAUCUGCAAUAUGCAUCAGUUCCUGGAGAAGAAUGCGAUCUGUAAUAUGCAUCACUCUGUCUGGCAAAGCAGCAUUGGCAUAGUUAUGAAGGUUUAAAUUAUCUUUGAACAUUUCAUCAGUUGGUUUCCUCCCGGUAAACAUUUCCAAGAGCAGUAUGCCAAAGCUGUAUACGUCUCCAUAGAUUGAGGCGUCGCUUCCCAUACCUAAUUCUGUCAACAAGAAAUACUACAGAAUUAGAGAUCAGAAUUAGAGAUAUGACAGCAGAAACCUUGAUUUAUUACCUGGAGGUGUAUAACCAAUAGUUACCCCUACACCUGUAGAACUUUUUGAAUUUGCUGAUGAGUUCGGAAUUGCUGGUGGAACAAAUCUUGCCAAACCAAAAUCACCAACAUGUGCAGUCAUGUUCUCAUCGAGAAGAAUAUUGCUUGGCUUCAGAUCACGGUGAAUUAUUGGGGGUUGGCAUUCAUUAUGGAGAUAAUCUAGAGCACAAGCAACAUCAAUGGCAAUGUUUAAUCAUUGAAUAAACCCGAGCUUCUUGUGCUCCUCCUGUGACUCAGAGUUCUCCUGAGGAGUGAAAUGUAACCAGUCUUGUAGACUCCCCUUAUCCAUGUAUUCAUAAACUAUGGAUUUGAACUCAUUACCUUCAUAAUCAAUACCUGAGCAUGCACUUAGAACGUUUACAAGAUUACGAUGUCUAAUGUUCUUUAAAACCUUCACAUUCAGCUAAAACACUCCUGGAAGCUGCAUGGUGUGAAAGGUCCAGUACCUUAGCAGCAAAAACCGUACCAUCGUGUUCAGAAAUUCCUUUAUAUACAGACCCAAAAGCAAAUUUGAUGCAGAAAAUCUAUCAGUUUCCCUAAGUAGACACUGAUAAGAUACUCUUAAGGUUUGAGUUUUCAGGUAUAUCUGUAGGUGUUGGUUUUCUCGAUCUACUAAACUGUCGUAUGCCAAGAACAAACUAUGAAUGUGAAUCCUAUAAGCCCACUAACUACAGGAAUUACUAUUUUCAAGGGAAAACCUGAUUUCCUUUCUUUGUUUACCUCUACAACGCAAGCCGGAAGGUCCAACUCUGGUACACCCCCACAGAGAUAUCUAUUUCCGAUGAUGGAAACCACAGUAGCAUUACUAAAGAUGCCUCCUGUUGGGACAGCACCUUCCAAAGUAUUACUAGACAGAUAUAAAAUCUGCAGAAAUUUAAAGUCCUUCAAGAAUCCCGGGAUUCCACCUGACAGAUUGUUGUGAGAAAGGACUAAAAGUCCUAGGUCUCGCAAACUAUUCAUGGUUGAAGGAAUACUACCCUGAAAGUUGUUGUUGUUUAAGUCUAGUGCUUCAAGUUUCACACAAAUACCUAUACUGGUAGGAAUCUGGCCCUGCAACUUGUUAUCAGACAGGUUUAAGUAGCCUAGAUUUCUCAACUUCCCAAUUUCCAUUGGAAGGAAACCAGUUAAUUGGUUCUGAGAUAGGUCCACGCCCUCCGACAAAGAUGAGAGUUCAAGAAUUUCUGAUGGUAUGAAACCACUAAGGUUAUUUGAACCAAGAUCCAACAGUUCCAAAUUGUGGCAUUUGCCUAAACUGGAAGGAAUUCUCCCCUGGAGAUUGUUUUCUCUUAAACUGAGUUUGGUUAAAGAAGCUAAAUUUCCCAAUGAGAUUGGAAUUUGGCCAGAGAACUGAUUUCCAAGUAAAGCCAGCUCUUGCAAAUAUUUCAGAUCACUAAUUUCAGACGGAAUUUCACCGUGAAAUUUGUUGUAAGCUACAAAGAAAGACUGAAGCUUCUUGAGAUUGGAUAUCUCUCUUAGGAUUUCUCCAGAAAUCUGAUUAUAAGACAACGAAAGCUCUAUAAGCUCAGUCGAAAGAUUACUAAUAGAUGCAGGUAAGACUCCACCAAAAUUAUUUGUAUUGAGCUCCAAAAGCUCCAAGCUGGUGGCAUUCACCAAUGUGGUGAGAAAGCUAAGGUCAUCAUCAUCCCCCUUCCCAAGAUAAUUGAAAGCAACUAAAAAUUUCCGCAUUUUCAGCAAAUUUCCAAGGGGUGGUACUUUUCCUGUGAGUCCAUUUCUACCAGCAAUAAGAGAAUGAAGAUUCGUAGCAUUUGACAAUGUUACCGGAAUAUUUCCAGUUACAUUGUUUCUAUAAAUGCUAAGGAACUCUAAAUUAGGAAAAGUAAUACCAAGCAAUGAAGGCAAUUUUCCUUCUAAAUGGUUUGUUCCAACAUCUAAGGCCACGAUAGAUGAACGAUUGAAAAGACAAGGAGGCAGGGUACCACUCAAGUUGUUCUCAUUCACUACAAAGUACUUUAAGUUGACCAAUUGGCAUAAUUCAUCAGGUAUUUUCCCUAACAAAUUAUUCUUGCUUGCGGAAAAGGUAUCAAGUAAAGAAAGAUUACCAAAUGAAGGUGGAAUUCCUCCUGUAAAAUAGUUAGAAAGAAGGUAUGUUUGAACUCUUUUGCUAGUUGGAGAGCAUAUUUGAUCCAAAAACCUAACAACGAAAGCAUUUUUGACCAAAAAAAGUAAUGGAGAGUAAAAGUGACUCGUUUUGAAUAGUCCUAAAGGUAUAUUACAGUGCAAUUAUAUUGGAGUAUCAUUGCAAUUUAAAAAUUCGCAAGUGAGAGAUUUCUCUUAUCACUCCAUUCUUCUUAUGUCGUUUUGUCUUUGUAGGGCUAAUUAUUAGGCCAGUACAAUCAACUACUUGAGCAAAUGAUAAAUCAAAUGGUCGACAAGUCUUCAAUGUGAACUCUUUGACCAUUUUCCCUUCUAGAACAACUUCGGAAUUUCAAGAUGCUUUAAAUUAAAUGUUUUCUUAUUUUUUCUCAUAUAUUUAUUAAAUAAUAUAUGAGAAAAAUCAUCAACAAUAAAGAGCAUAAAAUGAUUGAAUUUUCCUUAACAUGAGUGGUUGUGUUGUUCUAUUGGAACUACACUAGUUGAUAAUUCAUUAAAGCACUAUUUGAUUUGCUAAUGGUAUGAUUCAUCUCUAAUGUAUUUGAGCUUUAGACAUCACGGUUGAAAUCUACUAUCUUUGCUCAGCAUCCAUGUCAAAACAAGUUCACUGCAUCUGGUAAUUCCAUUGCAUCUCACUACCUAACAUGACCAAAAGGAACAACAGAUAGACAUUUUGACAUAUGAAUUAUCUGUUAGAAAAGUAAAUUAAAUGUUCUAAGAAAGCAAAAUGUCAUAUAUGUCACAUUUCACAUCACAAGAUGUUUAGACAUACUAAUCUCAUAUAUGUCACAUUUCUCCUGAACAAAAACGAGGCAUUGGCAUUAACAGGACUAAUAAUAUAAUGAUUCAAAAUACAGCUAGACAGUGCAUCAAUCUUUACAUAGUCAGGUGAAUCAAAUUAGUCAGUUCUUCCAGGGAAACAAUUAUAUUCAGGUGUCAGAACUCUCAAACUGGCACCGAUCCAAAACAUAGAAAGCAUCAUGCAGCAUGAAAGACAAUCAUCACCUCCCACGCACACUGGCAUGUGAUCGAGCACCUUUAUCACUGCUAAUGUCUUCAUCAAUUUCACUUCCAUCAACCCACACAACGUUGUUGCUUACACUCACCUCAGAACUAGCAUUACUGCUCGUGGCAAGUGGGGAGUUAGGCACGCUAAUUGACCUGCUUGUCCUGCCUCUAGUAGGCGGCCCUGAUCUCACACUGUACAUAGAGGAUGCUGGAAUAUUAGUCAUCAAGGGAUGCAGAUUACCCAAGACUCUCUGCCUUAUAUCCUGUCCAAGAGCAAUGUCUCAAAGUUAAGCAAAUCCAAAAAGGAUAAGAGAACAAGAAGGCCAACAAGACAGAUCAUCUAAAAAAAACAACACAAAUAUUGCUACUCUAAUCAGUUUUUGAAAAUAUACUUAUGUCUUCAGUCUAUGGUAGAGCACAAUAUUCUAUUAGCAUAGGAAUGUGAAAAGAAUGUAUAUACCAUAUGUCUAAUAGCCAUAUCCAAGGAUUUC
Molecule: long non-coding RNA, 42340 nt
Filed under: Solanum tuberosum (potato)
Lineage: Eukaryota; Viridiplantae; Streptophyta; Magnoliopsida; Solanales; Solanaceae
Description: long non-coding RNA (STUB_LNC003759)
Source: RNAcentral